RNAcentral lists this ribosomal RNA (253 nucleotides) under uncultured bacterium. RNAcentral's name for it is "partial 16S ribosomal RNA". It matches the Rfam family "Bacterial small subunit ribosomal RNA", at positions 524 to 776 of the family's 1533-position model. The record is from RNAcentral.
UACGUAGGGUGCGAGCGUUAAUCGGAAUUACUGGGCGUAAAGCGUGCGCAGGCGGUUCGCUGUGUCCGAUGUGAAAGCCCCGGGCUUAACCUGGGAAUGGCAUUGGAAACUGGCGGGCUUGAGUGCGGCAGAGGGGGGUGGAAUUCCGCGUGUAGCAGUGAAAUGCGUAGAGAUGCGGAGGAACACCGAUGGCGAAGGCAGCCCCCUGGGCCGACACUGACGCUCAGGCACGAAAGCGUGGGGAGCAAACAGG